GAGUGGCGGACGGGUGAGUAACGCGUGGGUAACCUGCCCUGUACAGGGGGAUAACAGUUGGAAACGGCUGCUAAUACCGCAUAAGCGCACGAGAGGACAUCCUCUCGUGUGAAAAACUCCGGUGGUACAGGAUGGGCCCGCGUCUGAUUAGCUGGUUGGCAGGGUAACGGCCUACCAAGGCGACGAUCAGUAGCCGGUCUGAGAGGAUGAACGGCCACAUUGGAACUGAGACACGGUCCAAACUCCUACGGGAGGCAGCAGUGGGGAAUAUUGCACAAUGGGGGAAACCCUGAUGCAGCAACGCCGCGUGAGUGAAGAAGUAUUUCGGUAUGUAAAGCUCUAUCAGCAGGGAAGAUAAUGACGGUACCUGACUAAGAAGCUCCGGCUAAAUACGUGCCAGCAGCCGCGGUAAUACGUAUGGAGCAAGCGUUAUCCGGAUUUACUGGGUGUAAAGGGUGCGUAGGUGGCAGUGCAAGUCAGAUGUGAAAGGCCGGGGCUCAACCCCGGAGCUGCAUUUGAAACUGCUCGGCUAGAGUGUCGGGGAGGUAAGUGGAAUUCCUAGUGUAGCGGUGGAAUGCGUAGAUAUCGGGAGGAACACCAGUGGCGAAGGCGGCCUACUGGGCACCAACUGACGCUGAGGCUCGAAAGUGUGGGUAGCAAACAGGAUUAGAUACCCUGGUAGUCCACACCGUAAACGAUGAUUACUAGGUGUUGGAGGAUUGACCCCUUCAGUGCCGCAGUUAACACAAUAAGUAAUCCACCUGGGGAGUACGACCGCAAGGUUGAAACUCAAAGGAAUUGACGGGGGCCCGCACAAGCAGUGGAGUAUGUGGUUUAAUUCGACGCAACGCGAAGAACCUUACCAAGUCUUGACAUCCCUUGACAGGCAUAGAAAUAUGUAUUCUCUUCGGAGCAAGGAGACAGGUGGUGCAUGGUUGUCGUCAGCUCGUGUCGUGAGAUGUUGGGUUAAGUCCCGCAACGAGCGCAACCCUUAUGGUCAGUUACUACGCAAGAGGACUCUGGCCAGACUGCCGUUGACAAAACGGAGGAAGGUGGGGAUGACGUCAAAUCAUCAUGCCCUUUAUGACUUGGGCUAAACACGUACUACAAUGGCGUUAAACAAAGAGAAGCAAGACCGCGAGGUGGAGCAAAACUCAGAAACAACGUCCCAGUUCGGACUGCAGGCUGCAACUCGCCUGCACGAAGUCGGAAUUGCUAGUAAUCGUGGAUCAGCAUGCCACGGUGAAUACGUUCCCGGGCCUUGCACACACCGCCCGUCA
Molecule: ribosomal RNA, 1280 nt
Filed under: uncultured bacterium
Lineage: Bacteria
Description: bacterial SSU rRNA
Rfam family: Bacterial small subunit ribosomal RNA
Source: RNAcentral